UGGUCAGUCCUAAGAGAUCGUUGGUAGU
RNAcentral lists this non-coding RNA (28 nucleotides) under Mus musculus (house mouse). The record is from RNAcentral. Lineage: Eukaryota; Metazoa; Chordata; Mammalia; Rodentia; Muridae.